CUGCUUUUCAUUUCAUACUGAGCCUCACAAAUUCCAUAGCCAGGCCAGCUCCCACAUAGGGCAGUGAGUAAGACAUGCCCUACCUGUCCUGGAGCUUCCAAGUAUUUCCUAGACUGUGGAGAUGCCUAGAGGAUUCGACUUUUAUGCCUGGAAUUUUUUUCAAUAUUUAGAGCGAAAUUGAGUAAAGAGAUCAGACUACCUUCCAGGUCUGUUCAAUCCUGGGAUGACACUAACUAUACAGGACUAGGCAGCCUUACGGUUCUAUCAUAUGAUACAAGAGGUCUGAAAGUGGAACCAUCAAACCAGCUCAUUCCUUUUUGUAACUCCUUUAGAGGUUAAAAAAAAAAAACAAAAACCCACCAAAACUAAACUAGUUUAAACUGUUUCAACACUCAGUGGCCGUUCAGGGGACUAAGGAGUCAAAAUCGUAGGAAGAAAAAAAAAUCCACCGCUGGUGUCUUGGGAUACGUUAACCAAGUCCUGGAGGCUGACCCUCAGUUUGGAGGGAAGGAGUGAGCUAACAAAACAAGUCCAAAAGUGGAGAGGGGAAUGGGGUGUGCUAUGGAGUAACACCGGCUUCCAGGACAAAGGUUACACAUUUGGAGUCACGGUCAAAGCAUGAGCCUGUCACAGUUUCACACAGAAGAGAUUUUUGAAGGCAAAAGUAGAUCUGACAAAACACAGCCAGCACCACACUCACCGCCACGCACACACCCCGAAGGCUUUAGAAAAGUCGACGACCACUCAGCAAAUGCGAGACACCGGAAACAGAAGAGCGGCUGAGUCCUCGCAGUUCACAUCCACUCCGUUUACUUGGCCCCACAAUUUGUUCUCGUCAUUUGCGUAAAGGUUCUUGGCUAUUCCACGUACCUACUAGGUUAGCGAAGCCAGCACCUGAAUCCUCACUUCGUCUGUCAACCGCGCCUCCUCCGCAUUUGGGCGUUCAGCCACCGCCCACCGCCAAUCGCCCCACCCCUCGCGGCGAACGCCGUCCCGCUUCUCGCCUCCUCCCACCAUUAACUUUCCUCGUGGCGUUCAAUUGUUCUCGCGAGAUUUCGGGCCCACUAUUAGCUGGGUCGCGGGCUGGAUCUUCCUUUCCUUGCGCGAGGUUGUGGAGAGAAACUACAUCACGUUUACCGAAUUGUCAGAACUCUUAAGCAAAUAACAAGUGGCGAAUAAAACAAUUUGGAGAAGGACUUGGGAGAUAUGUAACUGGAAUGAAUUUUAACUCUAUAAUGGCAUCUAAUUCAGCUGUGGAAAUUGAAAAUGAGAGGUAAGUGCUGUUUUCUUAAUCAACCACCACUAGAUUUUUACUGCAAAACUGACUAGAUUGGCUGAUAACGUUUACUGUAUUUUUAUUAUUGGGUAAGCAAUAAAGGUAAUUUUCAAUAAUUAGGAAAGAAAAGGAAAACCUGUUUUACACAGGUCUUCAGUUUAUGUAGUUAACAGUGGGACACAUUCUUAACCCUGGGGAAACAAUAUUCUCUGGGCCAAUUUGGUAUCUCUUCCUGGCUAAAUCAUCCUAAUCUUAAAACAGGAAAAUAGACAUCAGUGGGGGAUCUUGCUUAAAAAUCAACUUGUUGGGAUAAUGCACAUUAUAAUAGAGCUGGCAUGAUGGAAAUAAUCACUGGGAAAUCCAAUCAGCAUUUCUGUUGUAAUCAAAUAUCUGUUUGCUAGGCUACUCUUGUUUUAUUUAGAGCAAGCUCUAGCACUAAACAAGACUGCCUUUGGAAAUUAAAAUUCUAUUAUUUAUCUUGGAAGGUGAUGUUUUGGUAAGAGCUAUGGCAUCAUGAUAUUAUGGCAUUACGGUCCAUUUUAGGUAGUCUGAACUAAGUGGUUGGUUUAGUCCUGAGCAUGUUUUCCUGUUUUUGGUCUGUGGAAGA
Long non-coding RNA from Zalophus californianus (California sea lion), 1883 nucleotides. The record is from Ensembl. Lineage: Eukaryota; Metazoa; Chordata; Mammalia; Carnivora; Otariidae.